RNA transcript from Populus trichocarpa (black cottonwood), 1219 nucleotides. It is a transcript of the gene named transcription factor bHLH79, with no coding region annotated. NCBI's taxonomy places the organism in Eukaryota, Viridiplantae, Streptophyta, Magnoliopsida, Malpighiales, Salicaceae. The transcript has 7 exons. The record is from RefSeq and is a predicted model, not a curated record.
AAAAAGAAAAAAAAAACCCCCAGUCUGAGCUUGACUAAGCAUCAACUUAUAGUCCACUGGCACACGCUGACGCUGUCUUCUUUCUGGUGAAUCCAAUCCAAUCCAAUCCAAUAUGGAUCCUCCAUUGAUAAACGAGAAGUCCUUCUCUGCGGCCAACCCAUCUUCCUACUCAUUAACUGAGAUUUGGCCUUUUCCUCCUCCUUCUUCAACUGCUUUGGGCCUCCGGAUGGCUAAUUUGGCCGACCGAGAUGGGUCCGUUGACGAAUCCACUGUGACCGAGCAGAGGGGUGGAAAUAGAAAUGGAAAUAGGAAGGCUAGAGAUUUGAGUUCCGAGGAGGAUGACUCAUCCAUAAUGGUUUCUACCACCACUAGUGCCCAUGAUUUGAAUGAUUUGAAUGGUAAGCGGAGGAAAAUUUCGGGGUCAAGGAAUGAAAACAAUGAUUCAAGAGCUGAAAUAGAAGCAAGUUCUGCUGCUAAUAACAAGCCAGCUGAACCAAGCAGUAAACCAUCUGAGCCGCCUAUGCAAGACUAUAUUCAUGUCAGAUCAAGAAGGGGCCAAGCGACUGAUAGCCACAGUUUAGCAGAGAGAGCUCGGAGAGAGAGGAUUGGUGAGAGGAUGAAGAUACUCCAAGAUUUGGUCCCUGGGUGUAAUAAGGUCAUUGGUAAAGCACUUGCCCUUGAUGAGAUAAUUAAUUACAUCCAGUCACUCCAGUGUCAGGUUGAGUUCCUCUCAAUGAAGCUAGAAGCAGUAAAUUCAAGGAUGAGCACGAGCCCCGCGAUUGAAGGCCUUCAUCCAAAAGACGAGAAAUUGCACUAAAGAAAUAUUGAAUCCCAACUGCUGUUGCCCCAGUUUCGGAAUGUAGGUUGAGAGGUUUACAUUUGGAACACAAAAGGCAGACAAGAGAGGUUGCUCGUUGUGACAGCAAUCUUAACCUCAUCCUUUGUUGUAUUUGUCAAUCUCAUAUCAUAUUCUUCCAAUUGCUCAUGUCUUUGAACAAGCAAACAAAUGAAAUUUCUGAUGAAAUUACAAAAUCCACUUGGUGCACAGCCAUUUGAUGCUACUGGAAUGAUAUUUGGCCCACAACCAACAAGAGACUAUGUUCAAGGAUCCCAACCGGAAUGGCUACAUAUGCAGGUUGGUGGAAGUUUUAAAAGAGCCACGUAAUCGAGGAACUAGAUUUCUUCAGUUUAUUGAGAAGAGAUUUGUUAUUGGCUUCCA